CAAAUACUCCCUCCGUCCGGAAAUACUUGUCGUAGGAAUGGAUGCAUUUAGGUGUAUUUUAGUUUUAGAUGCAUUCAUUUAUAUUCAUUUUCCAACAAGUAUUUCCGGUCGGAGGGAGUAUAUA
This is a non-coding RNA of Triticum aestivum (bread wheat), 124 nucleotides long. Lineage: Eukaryota; Viridiplantae; Streptophyta; Magnoliopsida; Poales; Poaceae. The record is from Rfam.